AUACGGAGGGUGCGAGCGUUAUUCGGAAUCACUGGGCGUAAAGGACGCGUAGGCGGGUUGGCAAGUCAGAUGUGAAAUCCUACAGCUUAACUGUAGAACUGCAUUUGAAACUGCUAACCUAGAGUAUGGGAGGGGGAGAUGGAAUUAGUGGUGUAGGGGUAAAAUCCGUAGAUAUCACUAGGAAUACCGAAAGCGAAGGCGAUCUCCUGGAACAUAACUGACGCUAAGGCGUGAAAGCGUGGGGAGCAAACAGGAUUAGAUACCCCAGUAGUCC
RNAcentral lists this ribosomal RNA (274 nucleotides) under uncultured bacterium. RNAcentral describes it as "partial 16S ribosomal RNA". It matches the Rfam family "Bacterial small subunit ribosomal RNA", at positions 523 to 796 of the family's 1533-position model. The record is from RNAcentral.